Molecule: ribosomal RNA, 399 nt
Filed under: uncultured bacterium
Lineage: Bacteria
Description: partial 16S ribosomal RNA
Rfam family: Bacterial small subunit ribosomal RNA
Source: RNAcentral
AAUUUUGGACAAUGGGGGAAACCCUGACGCAGCAACGCCGCGUGAGCGAUGAAGGCCUUCGGGUCGUAAAGCUCUGUCUUCUCUGACGAUAAUGACGGUAAGAGAAGAGGAAGCCACGGCUAACUACGUGCCAGCAGCCGCGGUAAUACGUAGGUGGCGAGCGUUGUCCGGAAUUACUGGGCGUAAAGGAUGCGUAGGUGGAUACUUAAGUGGGAUGUGAAAUCCCCGGGCUCAACCCGGGAACUGCAUUCCAAACUGGGUAUCUAGAGUGCAGGAGAGGAAAGCGGAAUUCCUAGUGUAGCGGUGAAAUGCGUAGAUAUUAGGAGGAACACCAGUGGCGAAGGCGGCUUUCUGGACGAUAACUGACGCUGAGGCGCGAAAGCGUGGGGAGCAAACAGG